This 71-nucleotide transfer RNA is filed under the name Pangasianodon hypophthalmus (striped catfish). RNAcentral's name for it is "tRNA-Glu". Lineage: Eukaryota; Metazoa; Chordata; Actinopteri; Siluriformes; Pangasiidae. The record is from RNAcentral.
UCCUGGAGGACUAGUGGUUAGGCCACAGUGCUCUCACCGCUGUGGCCCGGGUUCAAUUCCUGGGCAAGGAA